UGCCGUGUGUAAGUAUUUGAUACAUACAUAGAUGUGUAUGAAGUUAUGUGUGAGUAAAAUUAUGAAAGAAAAGUCACAUGCAUAACCUCUGCAAAAUAAUACUGUCAGUGUAAAUGUCGGUGAUAAAAAAAGAUAAAUACAAAUAAUAGAAUGGUGCAGUGUUGCGUUCCAAAAUGUAAGAACAGGUCCGAUAGCCAAAAUUGGAAAAAAACCAGCAAUGUGGACAAAAAUCGAAAAAUUACAUUUCACAACAUUCCAAAAAAUAAUACUAAUCGCUAUUUGUGGGCCGAUAUCUUAAAUCUUCCACCACAUAUUCCAAAAAGUGCACGUAUUUGCUCUGAUCAUUUUUCAAAGGAAUCUUUCGAUCAGAUAAAUGGAUUAUUAACGUGAUUAAGGCCAAAUGUUUUGCCAUUGAAUGAAUGUGAAAAGCAUAUAGAUACGGAAAAAAGAAAGAAUGAUUCCUUCAUUGUAUGCCCACAACCAUCAACAACAGAUAAGGAAAUAAUAACAUCGAUGUAACCAUGUACAGCAGAGAAAGCAACAAUGGUAUCAUUUAAAAGAAUUUAUAAUUAUCCAAAAAAAUGUCGAUUGAGGAA
Molecule: long non-coding RNA, 596 nt
Organism: Harpegnathos saltator (Jerdon's jumping ant)
Lineage: Eukaryota; Metazoa; Arthropoda; Insecta; Hymenoptera; Formicidae
Exons: 3
Source: RefSeq, a predicted model, not a curated record